Manis javanica (Malayan pangolin) is the source of this 1211-nucleotide non-coding RNA. Lineage: Eukaryota; Metazoa; Chordata; Mammalia; Pholidota; Manidae. The record is from RefSeq and is a predicted model, not a curated record.
GCACCUCAGGCAGUAUUAGACAUUAACGGAUUCCACUGCUUCCCAAAAUGUAAAUUCGAAAGCUGAAUGGACAAAAUUUUCAUUUCAUAAACUUUGUUGCCAGUGGUCUUUUUGUUUCCCCAAAGAAGGGAGUGCUGAGGAACUCCCCACCCCUCCGCCCCAACUCCCAAGGAUUCGGAUGCCUCCGGACGCAGGGGCAGCUCUCUACCCUACCUACAUUCUUUGGGCAGGUGCGGCCUCACAGCCCUGGCCCGGGCUGCAGGGAGUAUCUCUCAAGAAUGUGAGGGUGUCGGGAACCCUGACACUGUCAUGAAGAGCGAGAAGGAAAAACUCAGAGAAUUCAAACUCAGCUGGAAACUGCUGGAGGAGCUGCCAGACACAGUCAAGGAAGAGGAGAAACACUGGUGCCUGAGAAGAGGGAAAUUUUAAGAGGACAACAUCUGAAUGCCCAGCCUGGAGCAUCGACUCUACUGCUCUGGAGGGGAGCAAGUCAGAAAGGUCACUGGCUGUGUAGAAGCCGCUACAGCGGAGGAGAUCACUACCCCCAGGAUGAUGCCAGGACAGGCGCUUCAGAUGGUUGAAGGGCCUGGACAGAAAAAGGAAAUCAGAAGAAUCUGGCAUGCAAGUGAUUCCAGACCAGGAGUGAGCUUCUAACUCAGUCUUCUCAUCUAUGGCUGUGCGUCUGGGGCACUGACUCCUUGGAGAAAGAAGAGGACAGAGUCCAGAAGUGUCCAAGUACCUCUGGGACAAUCAUCUCUGAAGCUUCUUUACUGGGGAAGCAAAAAUGUGACUGGAAAUGUGGACACAUGGCUGUUCAGAAAAAGAAUGGCAAAAGCUAGAUUCUCAGAAGUCAUUCAGAACCAGCUCCAUUCUUUCUCAGUAUCACCUCCCAAAUAUAUAAUACAAAGUCAUUAGUAAUUUUUGUUUUUAUUGGUCUGUGAAUUUUAGUUUCACUUGAGAAGAAAGUGAGCCAACGGGAGAGGGAGGAUGCCUCCCAGGCCCUGUGCAGCAGUGAGUGGAACACCAUCCCCCACUCCAUGAAGAGAUCAAAUCUUAAAAACUUUUUUGAUAUAAUCUUUUUAUUUUGUUGACAGAAUCCAGUUGAGGGGAAAACUUUUGGUUAAGUCUUAUAACUCUCAAUAAAACCAGCAUAGAUGAAGGGAAGAGUCUGGAGGCCUUGCCCAUAGUAUACUUGCUCCAUCAGGGCUGGA